This 487-nucleotide ribosomal RNA is filed under the name uncultured Gammaproteobacteria bacterium. RNAcentral's name for it is "bacterial SSU rRNA". It matches the Rfam family "Bacterial small subunit ribosomal RNA", at positions 395 to 873 of the family's 1533-position model. Lineage: Bacteria; Pseudomonadati; Pseudomonadota; Gammaproteobacteria. The record is from RNAcentral.
UGCCGCGUGUGUGAAGAAGGCCUUAUGGUUGUAAAGCACUUUAAGCGAGGAGGAGGCUCCUGUAGUUAAUACCUACAGUGAGUGGACGUUACUCGCAGAAUAAGCACCGGCUAACUCUGUGCCAGCAGCCGCGGUAAUACAGAGGGUGCGAGCGUUAAUCGGAUUUACUGGGCGUAAAGCGUGCGUAGGCGGCUUUUUAAGUCGGAUGUGAAAUCCCCGAGCUUAACUUGGGAAUUGCAUUCGAUACUGGGAAGCUAGAGUAUGGGAGAGGAUGGUAGAAUUCCAGGUGUAGCGGUGAAAUGCGUAGAGAUCUGGAGGAAUACCGAUGGCGAAGGCAGCCAUCUGGCCUAAUACUGACGCUGAGGUACGAAAGCAUGGGGAGCAAACAGGAUUAGAUACCCUGGUAGUCCAUGCCGUAAACGAUGUCUACUAGCCGUUGGGGCCUUUGAGGCUUUAGUGGCGCAGCUAACGCGAUAAGUAGACCGCC